GAAAUAAGACAUAAUGCAAUAUCAUGUAUGUGUACGUAAGAAAGAAGAAAUAAAAAAAGUCUCGAAGUGCACGCGCAGUCGUCAGAAGUCCUCGCUGUGCCUUAAACUCUAUUAUAAGUUUAAUCUCUGCACUACAAAUAAUAUCGGACGUUGAUUUCCGAUGGAGAGCGGCAAUUUCUUUUUACGCGUCCACUUCACUUCCCUCUCUCUUUUUAUCUCUCUCUCUCUUUUUCUCUCUUUCUUUCGCUUCCUUCCGUAGAAAAACACCAGACUUUUCGUCACCUUUCACCCCUUUCCACAAACUUCCCGUUCGGUUGUCCCGUUUGGUCCGCACUACCAGCAUGAUUAUUCGCUUUUGCAUCGCAAAAUGCUUGUGUCUACUAUGAUUUCUUUUUUUUUGGAUCGCUUCCAUGCCUGCCGUCCGAUCGGUUUCUCUCCUCUCGAUUCGCUUAAUAACUAAGUAAUACGGCUAAGUGUCUAAAACUACGCGCGGCCUCCGAAUGAGGUCUUGCCGCGUCCUCGUUCCGACACGAGGGCGGAUCAAAGUGUGAUUAUAGAGGAGCAUACUCUAUAUAUCUAUACGGGAUUACUUAUCAAGGUUACAUCGACGACACACCCUGCACGGUUACGUUCGAGUGUCUCGCGUUCGCGACGACGCGAAGCUUCGCGAUCGAUCGUGCCUGAGCGGAUCAUCGGGCAGGGACUAGCUUUCUCAGAAGAUCGUUUCGAUGCGGCACGAUCGUCGAUCUCGUAGCGCUCUAUUUUUGUUCGACUUUUAUUCAGUUUACGUUUUCUGUUCUUUAUCCCUUGUUACGGAAGGUUUACCGAUCUCUAUCCGUAUCAGAAGGGCUAAGCAGAGGCGAAUCUUCGAUUACUUCCGAACCCUUCUCGAUAUCUACUCGAUACUAACAUAGCGUUGCGCGUUUCCGAAAUUGCCGACGAAUUGCUUGCCUUAAACUAAACUUAACAAUGUCUUAAUUUUGAUAAAUACUACCGUGUUAAUUUUCCACACGACCCUUCUCUCCGUCUUCGCGUGAUCGACGUACCGAUCGCUUAAAAAAAUAGGGUACAAAAAUUAUUCAUCUAAAUUUAUGAGAUCUUACCGAAUCUAAAAUCGCUCCUUCGCGUAUUAAUUUUUUUUAUAACACAGCCGAAUAAAAAUGCCCGAAUUACCUCUAAGAAACUUAUAUCGAGAAUCUUAAUUUUUAGCGCCUGAUCCGCGUUCGCUCGAGGAACGCACCGUUUUUUUUUUAAUUUUCAUUUUGUAAAAAAGAAGUCUACCCUUAAGAUCCACCGUGAACUUAGCCCCCACUAAAAGCGCGACGACUACGAGAGCGUAUGUCGAUCAAUUCGCGCGAUCUCUCUCUCUCUCUCUCUCUCUCUCUCUCUCUCUUUCUCUCGGCCAAAUUUCGUUUUGCGGUUUCUUUUUUCUUUUUUCCUUUUUCCCUUUAUCUUCGCGUGUCCGCUAACUAUACUAAUUGUAAAGACGCAAAUAUUACGAAGUUCGCCGUAGUCGGGUCGGCAUUACCGUCGUGAUUGGUGUUGAUUUACAGUGACAGCGGCGGAUCUUCCCUUCUUAAAGACGACAAGAAAUGUACGUCGCAGUCUUACGCGGGUACCUUAUGUACGUAUACAAUGAAGAACAUACAUUCGUUAUCGUCGACGUUGUUUUAUGCCGUUAUUUGCCUUGGGAUCAGUAUAUUUAUAAAUCAAUUGCGCCGCGCGAUUCGCGAAG
Molecule: long non-coding RNA, 1735 nt
Organism: Mycetomoellerius zeteki
Lineage: Eukaryota; Metazoa; Arthropoda; Insecta; Hymenoptera; Formicidae
Exons: 3
Source: RefSeq, a predicted model, not a curated record